RNAcentral lists this long non-coding RNA (712 nucleotides) under Malus domestica (apple). RNAcentral describes it as "long non-coding RNA (MDOM_LNC017072)". Lineage: Eukaryota; Viridiplantae; Streptophyta; Magnoliopsida; Rosales; Rosaceae. The record is from RNAcentral.
AUUAACAUUUGGAUAUCACUUCUAUAAACCAACUAACAAAUGUUGUUUGAUUGGGUAGUUCAUUGUAAUCCUACACUAGGAUUUGCCCAAGAUAGAGCAAAUGAACGAGGGAUAGAACUCAAAGAAUGGUUCUUUAAGAAACAAGAUAGUGAUCAACAAAUAUAACAACCUAGUUCCUAUACCACAAGCUCCAAGGUAGUCGAGAAGGAUUUAUAAACCGUCUCAGUUCAAUUGUUUGAAUUUUAUGACUAUGUCAUAAAGUUACACCUCUUAAUUCGAAAGAAAUAAGAAUUAAAAUCCUUAUGACUACAUUGAGUGUAUAUACGAUAUAUACUCAAGGAAAUGGUAAAGUACCAUUUGACCCGAAAUAAUGAAACCUUAAAUAGCUAAUUGGUAGCUUAAGGUGACUACAAUCAAAUAGAAUGGUUGACUUUGAAGAAACCAUCUUUGAUGUAGUCUUGUUUUCAAUUAAUUCGAAGAUUGCUAGCUACAACUAAAUGGUGAUUCAAUGUUUGGACAUAAUAUAGGUUUCCGAAACCAUUAUUAAGAUGGUCUUGAUAAUAUAUGUCUAAAACUAUGAAUCACAAGACAUGUAAGUUGUAGAGAUCCAACCAUCAUGGAUCUUAGCAAGCUAGUGGGAGCUGUAAACGUCUUAUGAGAGAAAGAUCAAAACGUUUGAUUUCUCAUAAAGAUGUAAAUGAAUCUUUUGUUU